RNAcentral lists this microRNA precursor (137 nucleotides) under Hordeum vulgare. RNAcentral describes it as "microRNA MIR1122". It matches the Rfam family "MIR1120/MIR1122 microRNA precursor family". The record is from RNAcentral. Lineage: Eukaryota; Viridiplantae; Streptophyta; Magnoliopsida; Poales; Poaceae.
UAUAUACUCCCUUCAUCUCAAAAUUCUUGUGUUUAGAUUUGUGUAGAUAUGAAUGUAUCUAGUCACAUUUUAGUAUUUAGAUACAUCCAUUUCUAGACAAACCUAAGACAAGAAUUUUGAAAUGGAGGGGGUAUUUG